Molecule: long non-coding RNA, 2451 nt
Filed under: Salvia miltiorrhiza (redroot sage)
Lineage: Eukaryota; Viridiplantae; Streptophyta; Magnoliopsida; Lamiales; Lamiaceae
Description: long non-coding RNA (SMIL_LNC006001)
Source: RNAcentral
AAAUAAAAAACCUAAAAAUUACAUUAAAAAAAUAAAAACACAAUUUAAAUUACAUAAAUUAAACUCCUAGUCUAGAUAAGACCACGACGCUUGAGCAUUUCUUGGACCAUGUGCUCGUGGGCCAUCCUCUGUGCAUCGCUCAUAUGCGAUGUAUCCAGACUGAGGAGUUGCAUGUCGAGCUCCCUCUCCUUGAGCUCGUUCUUUUUGGCAUAUUCGGCUGUGAUUUUUUUCAAGUUCUGAUCGGACCGAUCCAAUGCCUCUUUGUACUCCGAUGACUGCUCGGAGCUUGCCGCCGCCUUCCCCUUCCCCUUCGCUUUCGCCGCCCUCGCCGCCGCCUUCCCAAUCGGCCGGGCAGACGAGAUCUCCUCGCCCGACGCCGAGGUGGUGAAAGCGCCCUCCUCUGUCGUCUUUGUCCUCUUGGAGGAAUGCACGUCUCCCUCGAGGUACAUCGACUUGAACUUGUGGUUGUUCCGAAGAAUUCUCCACGCAUUCCAGUAGUUGAAGGAGGCGUUAUUUGCGCUCCGAGUUUUGAAAAGAGUUUGGGCCUUGUCCCGGAGCAUAUCGUCAGAAUGGCCGGACGGCCACCGGCUUUUCGCCUCAACCCAAAUACUCUCCCACAACCGCACCUCUUGGGCCACUCGGGUCCAGUGCCCUUGAAUCUGGAGGUGCUUGAGGUUGGCGCCGAUAAUGGGGUUGACACGGGCGACGAUCAUCUUCCAGUAAUCGUACCCCUUUUGAUUUGUCCCACGGAUGUCGUCGUUUGUCUCCUCCAUCCAAAUUUGGACGAUGAUGUCCGUCUCCUCAGGGGUGUAGGUAUGACGGAUAGUCUUUCUUCCGUCAUCCUCCGCCACCGGCGCCUGCCUGUCAUGCCGGAUCUUGUGAGCGACUUCUUUCCUCCGGCUGCCUUUCUUCGGUUUGGCAGCACUAUGGGCUGCCGAAGGCAUCUCCUCGCCGGACUUAGGAGCAUCCCCCAAGUUACACCCCGAUAAAUCGGGAUGAUAUUCGUCGGAUAGAUCGGGGCACCAAUUUAGGUCAUAGUAAUUUGGGUUGUGUGGAUCCAUGGAGGGUGUAGAGAGAGAAAGAAAGGAAGAAGUAAGGAUGAAGAAGAAGAAGUGAGGGUGUAGGGGAAAAAAAAUGAGGAAGAAGAAAGAAUAAAUAGAAGAAAAAGAAGAGGAAAAAAAAAAAUUGGAACGGUCAAAAUUCACGCAAAUCGAGGCAGCAACAGUCAAAUCGAUUUUUUUUUUAAUCGUCGCGUGCAUCACACGCGCCUUACACUAUCAUCAAAAUGGGCUACACGAUAGAACGUGUAGCCCUCGUGUAACUCUCGCCCGCAACGCUUACACGAUAGCAGACUUACACGAGUAAGCUGCUAUCGUGUAGGCGUUGCCAAUGCUCUUAUACUACUAAAAAAGCUCUCAUAAAUGACACUUAAAACACGUCAGAUAUGCAUAUAAAACAGUGUCACAUAUACGCGUCAUACAUGUGUUAUAUUGUUUUUUUUAUGAUAGAUAAAAAAUGUCAUAUAUACAUUCAUACGUAACAUUUUUUUCAUAUACAUGACAAUUUUUAAAUGUCAUGUAAAUAAUUAUAAAUGACAUUUUAUAACAAUCACGUAUGAGGUAUAUAUAUAUAACAGUUAACGGACCAUAAAUGACACUUAAAAAUGAUCAUGUAUUAUAGUACAUGUGACAAUUUUUAAAUGUCAUGUAUAUCAUAAUAGAUGGUGAUUUUUAUGUGUCAUCUAUACUCUUUCCAAAUUAUAGCCUAUUUUGCUUAUAUAUAUUCAUUCUAAUUUCUUGUAUUUAAAUUUUAAAAGCCAAUAAAUUGUACUUUCUUCGUUCCUCAAACAUCUUUAUUAAGAGAAGGUAACAUGAGUUUUAAUAAAUGUUAGUCGCUCUCAUUUCUAGCAAGGGGAUUGAUUACGGUUCUUACCAUAUCUAGCGACAUUUUAACAAUAGUCAGGGAGAAAUCAUAUUCAACAGAACAAAUAAAGGAGCAAAGGGGUGAAUAUAGAGAAGAACCAAAAUUGAAUUUCAAGAUCAAAUGAACAGAAGGUACAACAUUACAGGAACCUCGUAAAUCUACUAAUACUAACUUAAGCAAAACAUGUAGAUAGAUGUGUUGUGAAACUUCAACUGCACAUCUUAAAAUGUUAAUAGGUAAAACUUCAAGAAACAACUUCGACUGUGCGUCGAGGAGAAAAGCCCUUCUACUGCUGUUGGGCUUCAACUUUCUUUUUCUGCCACAACCUAUCAAGUGCACUGUCCGCAUCACCCUGCAGACCAGAAUUUCCAACUCUCAUACAAGAUAAAUCACAUAUAUUAUGAGACAUGAAAAAGUUGGCAAAACACUUUUUAAACUUUGAUAGAGAUUAUUAAGCUUCUUGAUCAAUUGACAUUCUUCUAUACCAUAUGAAACACUUUAUAAGGUUAGCAAAAUGAGAGAAAAAAA